This 1355-nucleotide long non-coding RNA is filed under the name Homo sapiens (human). Its description in RNAcentral is "HSALNT0298228". Lineage: Eukaryota; Metazoa; Chordata; Mammalia; Primates; Hominidae. The record is from RNAcentral.
AAUGAAAAAUAAGUAAUCAUAAAUUAUUUAUUGGCUCUUCUUUUUCAUCAGUAUAGAAAAUAAAAUUGUGUGUUGUACAUGGGUUCUGGUCUCCUAAAAAGGCUUAGAAAAAAAUGGCAAACCUAUUAGUAGUGGAUUGUAUAGUGUCUCCCAAAAAUUCAGAAUAAGACCUUGUUUGGAAAUAAGGUCUUUGCAGAUGUAAUUAAUUAGUUGUCAUCCUGGAUUUCAGGUUAGCUUAAAAUCCAAUGACUGGUAUUUUUAUGGGAGAAAUGAGACGGACACACAGACCCAGAGGAGACAGAGACACAGAGUAGGACUUGUGAAGACAGAGGCAGCAGAUAUUAGAGUUAUGUUGCCACAAGCCAAGGAACACCAGGAGCCACAGGUAGGUAGAAGAGAAGAAUUGUCUCCUAGAGCCUGUGGGGGACCUGGCUGUACUAACACCUAAAUUUCCGUUGUUUUAAGACACUCAGUUUAUGUUAAUUUGUUACACCAGCCCGAGGACACAAAUACUCUAGGGUACAAAGGUCUGACUUCCUAGCUUAAUUUGAGAUAAGCUAAGAGGGUCAUUUCAGCUCCAGAACUACCCACGGAAUCCGCUGAGGCUGCUUCCACUAUUGCAUCACAGUUCAGCUUCUUUGCUGCUCAAUCCUACAUACUUUAUCACUUCACAUUUGUUGUUUCUGAAAGAGUUCCCCCAAUAAACCUCCUGUACUCAGUCCUCUACCAAGAGUCUGCUUCCGGGGGAAUUUGCCCUAAGAUAGUCGUAACAGGACUGGCCCUAGGAAGGAGACUCUAAAAUGAUAUUUUGGAGCUCCAUCAUCCACUUGCUGGUUUACAAUGAUCUCAUCAUAGACAGCAGAGAAGAGCAUCUCUCUCAGAGGAGGCACUGAACAGCCAAAUACACAGAAGAACUUGUUCGGUUGACAUCCUUCCAUCAGCUUCUGCUAUUGGCCACCUGGAUGCUGGUAAAAUGGGCAGAGAGGUAUAUCAGCCACAACUGUAAACUGGAGAGAACAAGAGCCUCCUAUCCUCUAGGAUUGCUGAUUUCCUGUGUAAUGAUUAUCAAUGUUGAAGUGAAAAGAGACAGCUGAAUUCAUCAGUGGGAUAGGAGGGUCAAGUCAAGUUACCAGCAUUCCACACGACUGAUUUAAUGUACCUAAGAUUGUGGUCUGUAUUUCCUGUGACAAGAUUCCUUCCUGAUGAUUUAUCAAGGAAGAGGUUCUUACUUUUAGAUUCAGGUCUCUCUGUGAAAAACAUGUUAACCUAGAAAGUUGUCUCACCAAACACUAGGAAAUGUGGCAUAAUUGGAUAUCAACUUUGAUGCAUUGAUUUUUAAUGGAACAUCAGCAUCU